CAGUCGCCGCGGUAAUACGGAGGGUGCAAGCGUUAAUCGGAAUUACUGGGCGUAAAGCGUGCGUAGGCGGUUCGUUAAGUCUGUUGUGAAAGCCCCGGGCUCAACCUGGGAAUGGCAAUGGAUACUGGCGAGCUAGAGUGUGUCAGAGGAUGGUGGAAUUCCCGGUGUAGCGGUGAAAUGCGUAGAGAUCGGGAGGAACAUCAGUGGCGAAGGCGGCCAUCUGGGACAACACUGACGCUGAGGCACGAAAGCGUGGGGAGCAAACAGGAUUAGAUACCCCUGUAGUCCCUGUCUCUUAUAA
This 301-nucleotide ribosomal RNA is filed under the name uncultured bacterium. RNAcentral describes it as "partial 16S ribosomal RNA". It matches the Rfam family "Bacterial small subunit ribosomal RNA", at positions 509 to 809 of the family's 1533-position model. The record is from RNAcentral.